This 595-nucleotide ribosomal RNA is filed under the name uncultured bacterium. RNAcentral describes it as "bacterial SSU rRNA". The stretch from base 1 to 517 matches the Rfam family "Bacterial small subunit ribosomal RNA", at positions 338 to 873 of the family's 1533-position model. The record is from RNAcentral.
CCUACGGGAGGCAGCAGUGGGGAAUAUUGGACAAUGGGCGAAAGCCUGAUCCAGCAAUGCCGCGUGAGUGAUGAAGGCCUUAGGGUUGUAAAGCUCUUUUACCCGGGAUGAUAAUGACAGUACCGGGAGAAUAAGCUCCGGCUAACUCCGUGCCAGCAGCCGCGGUAAUACGGAGGGAGCUAGCGUUAUUCGGAAUUACUGGGCGUAAAGCGCACGUAGGCGGCUUUGUAAGUAAGAGGUGAAAGCCUGGAGCUCAACUCCAGAAUUGCCUUUUAGACUGCAUCGCUUGAAUCCAGGAGAGGUGAGUGGAAUUCCGAGUGUAGAGGUGAAAUUCGUAGAUAUUCGGAAGAACACCAGUGGCGAAGGCGGCUCACUGGACUGGUAUUGACGCUGAGGUGCGAAAGCGUGGGGAGCAAACAGGAUUAGAUACCCGUGGUAGUCCACGCCGUAAACGAUGAUAACUAGCUGUCGGGGUUACAUAGAACUUCGGUGGCGCAGCUACGACAUAGUUAUCGCCGUGGGUAGGUACGGCCGCGAGUAAACGUACAAGAAGUAGACGCGNGAGACGNGCCGACGGACGACGACGAGGGAGAGG